GGAUUGAACAGAGUUGUCGGGACUCAUUAGACAGCACUGUUUGCGACCAUGGGUGAGGUCGAAUUGUCCUUCCUAUCUCCUAUUCCUUGACCUCCGUAGAACGUCACGAGGUCAAGGAAGGUCAGGACAACUGAUAGGAAUUAGGAAAACGGUGCUCCGAGAAUCCGACUCGACUUUCACUAUACUACAUCAUCACGCGACUGCGGAUAUAUUUGAUGUGCGUCUGCCGUGGUGAAACUACAAAUUUCUGAAGAAGUACUACGAAGCAGGAUUUACGGUUAACGAGAUAACUUCAACUUUAACUCUGGGUUUUCCGUCCUACGAAGCCGUUUCUCUUCUUAUCGGCAUAAAUCACCGUGGUUACUUAUGCUGAACGGCUAACCUGCUCCAGAGCAGGUUAUGUUCCAGAUACGAGAUCGAAACCUGUCGACAGAACCACUACUGACCAAUCAAAUCACUGGAAACCAGCGUCAUCAUUCACAGGAUCCCAUCAGGAUCAGAGGAGUUUAGAGUAACGUGACAAAUAAUAAAGCAGAUAUUUAUGAAUGAGUAGAAUCAUGUUGCUGUUCCAGACUUUUCAUGUGUCCACUCUGAGCUUCUAAUAAACAGAGGGAAAGAUUAUCACACUAAAUAAAACCAUAGACACAUUAAUACUAGAGCUUAAUUAGAAUUCAACAAAGAGUGUUUGCGCUUCUAAUAAACACUUCGUAGUACAGGCCACUGGACCCUUCCGUCGUCUGCCCACUGGAUUUCCCUUUCCCACCAUUUGCAUACACAUCCCCAUUCCAUCAUACACCAUCACACUCGUCCCAGUGAGUCUCUUGCACACAUAUGUCCAUGUCUCCAGCUUGCAGUCCUCACUCCAUUUGCGUUUAGAGAUGUGCCUGUGAUCAUAAAGUAAGUCAGAGAAAAGAAAACUGAAAAUUAGUCUUUAUCAUGAUUAUCUUGUUUAGCUUGUUCUGCCUUCUUCUUCUUCUCCCUCAUCUCAGAGAGCCACCCGCCCAAAAGUCUCUUCCUUGUUCCCGCAUUCUCCUCCGUUCCCUCUUCCUCGCCUUCUGUCUGGUCAGAGUCUUUCCCUCCAUCCCUACUUUUUCCCUCUGCACUUGCUGGUUUGGGGCUCCCUUGUCCAGCACCUUCAGACCCUCCCAGUAGUUCUUGCUCCACCACCGCUCCCCUGCUGCUGUCUUCUUCCUUCUCUCGGUCCUUUUCUCCCUCAUUGGUCUCCGCCUCGUUGUCUCUCCGUCCUUCUGUUGUCCCUCUUCUUGCUCCCCAUGUUCCAUAUCAUCAGCCUCGCUCUCAUCCUCUUGUUCCUCCGAAUCCUGGGUGCCCCUCUUCUCCGCAUCUGUAGCUGGGGCAUUCUUUAAGAAUAUGCCCCGGUUGGAUGCAACGUGUCAUGAUGGUAUCAUGGCAGCCCUCCUCUCUCCCCCUUUUUGUUUCAUUGUUUGUUUUCCCCUGUGUGUUAUCCUGCAUGUUUCUCCCCUGCCCGGCGUCUGUCUGUGUGUUGGUGGGCGUGGCUUCUCCCUGCAGGUGGCGAUCACCACCAAUCAUUCCCCCUCAGUAUAAGAAGACCGGUCUGAGCACGUGAAAGCCGAGAAGUGCGACUCUCACGCCUCUGCAGUGACUUUUCACAUUGUUGGCUGAACUCCAAGGACUUUCCCCUCAAUGUUUCCUCUAAGAAACUCGCCCCCCCAUUUCAUUGGUCCAUAUGUAGUCGAGGCUGUGAUUAACCCCUGUGCUGUUCGCCUUAAGCUCCCUCCAGCCCUCAGGAUACACCCCACUUUCCACGUUUCUCAACUGAAACCAGUGCAGUCCAGCAGUUUAUGCCCUGCUACUGUCGUAUUGUGAUCCUGGCUCCAGUUACCUCUGUCAUUUCCCUGUGCAGAUUUCAAAAUUGUUUGGUCCCGUACUCCUGCAUGCCACAAUCUCUCCACACGUUUUGGCAGUUUCUUGUAGCAAUUCAGUCACCUUUUCUCCACCAGUUAUUUCAAUUCGAAGUGUUAAUUCUCUUUCAUACUUUAUCUUGUCAUCUCUUGGUUGUCUUUCCCUUUGCCCUGUCAUUUGUUCCCGUUCCGUUGUCAUCAGCCGUGUGCGGUCCAAAAGGAAACAUUUUGCAACCCCCCCCCCCCCCCACGCAGUGUGGCACUGCGAGGGGUGAAAGGUAAGAGAACUGAGAUUUUUAAGGGGGGUUAAAAAAACAAAAUCUCUGUCUGCUCCCUGCUCGCUCCCAACACUCCUGCACCUUGAUCGGCAAACGAGAUCGAGCGUGAACCAGGCGGUGUGGCCGCAAGCUUCCGUUCAGUCAAAAUCCAUGCUUUUUCAACAACUCAAACACAAAUCAGAUUUCAAAGAAGAAGAAAAAAACGCUCAUUGUCAAAUAUUUGGAUUAACAGCUUACAGCACCAAGUUUUCCCAGGCGGUCUCCCAUCCAAGUACUUACCAGGCCCAACCUAUCUUAACUUCCGAGAUCAAACAAGAUCAGAGAGUACAAUGGUCCACCUCACGUCAAACUCAAUCUGACAGUUUUAUUACCCACAAUAAACGCUGGUAUGUAAACCUAUUGCGAGUACUUUCAAUUUCUUUAGGAUAUUUGAUGUUUAUAGAGGACUAAAAACAAACAUUUUUCUACAGAGCAUAACAUGAUUACCUUCGGUACAGAGUUUGACAUCUUAGACACCGACUAUUCAGCGUCUGAGUUGUGGGAAAUUGAUCAAUUUGCCACACGGCAGCUAGAUCCGGAACAACAACAACCACAGCAGCAGACAUACUGUUACAUCCAGCCCCAUCAAUCUGUUAUCCCCCGACCCAGACAAGAUUCCUGAGGUGUACGGACUUCAGAGCUCCGAGGGUUCGACGCAGACGCCGAAUUGACCCGAGAGGCUCUUUACCCCCCAAUAAACCCCUCCCCCCACCCCUAGAUCUGGAACAAGUACAGCCGCAGACACUCUGUUACAUCCAGCCCCAUCAAUCUUUCAUCCCCCGACUCGGACGAGAUUCCUGAGGUGUACGGGUUGAACCAGCAGCAGCAGGACGGGCCUAUCGUUACAGAGGUGGAUCAGCAGAGGGACCAAACCGCCGUGCCAGUGGUUAUCGUGUUUCCCCAACCGACAGACCAGGCAGCCAUAGGCCCUCCGUCACCCCAGCUCUCCCCUCAUCACCAACAACCGUCUCUGGAGAGACAGCAAGCGGUCAAGAAGUGGAGGAUCUAACUCACCAUUCAGGGGUUGAGGGCUCAUCUGACUGCAGAGUUCCGAGGGUUCGACGCAGACGACGAUUUGAUCCGAGAGGAAGCUCACAGCAGAGGGCAAACUACUGUCCUAACUGCACUUUUAGCACAGAGAGGGAGCUUCUGAACCAGCAGAGGAACGAAGAGGUGCGACUUCUUAAUCAACAAAGGCACGAAGAGGCACUGAUUCAGCAUCAGAGGUUGUAUGAAGUGACCGGCUCUUUACUGCGUUUCAUGCAGCGUGCGAGACUUGAAUAGAUGCUGUACAGGGUUCUGUAAAAGAAGUGUUGUGUGAUUGGAACCUUUUUUCUGGUUUGAUUGUUAUUCUUUUAUGCUGUGUACAAUAGUUUUUCCGCAUCUGCU
Scophthalmus maximus (turbot) is the source of this 3586-nucleotide long non-coding RNA. RefSeq lists it as uncharacterized. The record is from RefSeq and is a predicted model, not a curated record. Lineage: Eukaryota; Metazoa; Chordata; Actinopteri; Pleuronectiformes; Scophthalmidae. The transcript has 4 exons.